UUUAUACAACGCAAUUACACAAGGGACACGAGCUUACGUAAAUAAAUAUAUAGUAGGGACAAUCGAUAUAAAUUACCAUAUAAAGUAUUACUAAUUAAUAAAUUAAUUGGUCAAAGUACCGAUAGCUUCUGAAUAAAUUGUAGCAAAAGAUUCACUCAACUACUGUACGAGAUGUUUAACAUGAAGAUAUUUUUGUUGGCAAUUUUGAUAGUGGCUUUGUUUGCUGCCGAAACUUACGCUGCAUGCGUUAAAUACGGCGGUUUUUGCAAACCUGAGAUGGAUUGUUGCACUGGUAAAUGUCAAUGGAUGCCUCUCGUUCCAAUGGGAGUAUGUAAUGAUCAAGUUGCCAUAAAUUAACUUUGAAUUCACUUUCGACUCAGUUUAUAAAUACAUUUUUUUUUUAAUUUAUAAGAAAAUAAUUACGACUAUUUCUUUGUAUGAUGUAUGAUUUUAUUGUUAAAUAUAUGUACACUUUUUCCUACUAAAUUUGAAAAUAUAUUCGAAGUAUAGAAAUAUCAUUUG
Long non-coding RNA from Microplitis mediator, 522 nucleotides. RefSeq lists it as uncharacterized. The record is from RefSeq and is a predicted model, not a curated record. Lineage: Eukaryota; Metazoa; Arthropoda; Insecta; Hymenoptera; Braconidae. The transcript has 3 exons.